UCCCCAAUAGCUCAGUUGGUAGAGCGGUGGACUGUUAAUCCAUGUGUCGUUGGUUCAAGCCCAACUUGGGGAGCCA
RNAcentral lists this transfer RNA (76 nucleotides) under Agarivorans albus. Its description in RNAcentral is "tRNA-Asn". It matches the Rfam family "tRNA". From Rfam's summary of the family: Transfer RNA (tRNA) molecules are approximately 80 nucleotides in length. Lineage: Bacteria; Pseudomonadati; Pseudomonadota; Gammaproteobacteria; Alteromonadales; Alteromonadaceae. The record is from RNAcentral. RNAcentral also lists the same sequence under 19 other names.